Leopardus geoffroyi (Geoffroy's cat) is the source of this 844-nucleotide long non-coding RNA. RefSeq lists it as uncharacterized. The record is from RefSeq and is a predicted model, not a curated record. Lineage: Eukaryota; Metazoa; Chordata; Mammalia; Carnivora; Felidae. The transcript has 5 exons.
CUGGGACUCUGUGUUUCUCUCUCUCUCUCUCUCUCUUUGUGCGUGUGUGUGACCACAAUUGUAGUUUCAGUAAAUAAAACGGCUGCUUGAUAACGUGGAACGGCCCAGCGCUUAACUCUGCCCUUGGAGAUCCUUUACAUCAAACCAGCGAUCAAAAAGUGGUGCAGAUAAAAUUUGUCAUCAGGGAUUUCCUACAAAAGAAUUACAGUGGAGAAAUGGCCUGAUCGAUACUAUGGAUUUUCACUGCAGGGGCUGGUGGUCCAAUUGCUGUGAGACACUCACACAGAUAAAAGGGCAUGGCCACCACUCUGUCACAGACUGCUGACUCAGCAAAAGCUUGGCAGAUGUGCCGGGGGGGCGAAACUUUGAAGGCGGAGGAGCGCGGACGUAGCUUCUCUCCCACAGAGUGUGGUUAUUCCCGGAGGAGAAGUCCCAUCAGCCGGUCGCCGGAGCUCUGGAGUUCCUUAGCCAUUACUUACAUAAGAUGAAAAUGGAAGCGCCCAUCUUUCUCGCUUAAGGAGGUUGCUGCUGGACUGAAUGAGAUCAAGAAUGUGGGACUGUUUACUGAGCCGUCGGUGCUGCUUAAAUAACAAGGGGCUACCACACAGAGAAAACUCAUCAAAACAUGAAGCCAAACACAAUGGAAAUGAGAGCUUAGAGACCUAUAGCGAUGCAACCUGUGGGACGGCCUUUGGCUCCUGGAUCCAGCUAUUUCUGAAGCUACAUUUACUCUUCUAUGCCCAGGACGAUCCAAAUGGAAGAAGUUUUAACAUCAACAAAACCACAUGAUGCUGAAUACUUCAUCCACAUUGGCCUCAGUUUCCUCACCUGUAAAAUGGGUGCU